Molecule: ribosomal RNA, 499 nt
Filed under: uncultured bacterium
Lineage: Bacteria
Description: partial 16S ribosomal RNA
Rfam family: Bacterial small subunit ribosomal RNA
Source: RNAcentral
GACGAACGCUGGCGGCGUGCUUAACACAUGCAAGUCGAACGGGUCUGCCCUGUUUUUUGCGGGGUGGGUCAGUGGCGAACGGGUGAGUAACACGUGAGUAACCUGCCCCUCACUUCUGGAUAACCGCUUGAAAGGGUGGCUAAUACGGGGUGUUCUGGCUGUGCCGCAUGGUGUGGCUGGGAAAGAUUCACUUUUGUGGUGUUUUGGUGGGGGAUGGGCUCGCGGCCUAUCUGCUUGUUGGUGGGGUGAUGGCCUGCCAAGGGUUUGACGGGUCGCCGGCCUGGGAGGGUGGGCGGUCACACUGGGAGUGAGAUACGGCCCAGACUCCUGCGGGAGGCAGCAGUGGGGGGUAUUGCAGAAUGGGCGGAAGCCUGAGGCAGCGACGGCGCGUGAGGGAUGGAGGCCUUCGGGUUGUGACCUCUUUCGCCGGUGAAGAAGGUCCUGCUCUUUGUGGUGGGGUUGACGGUAGCCGGGUUAUGAAGCGCCGGCUAACUACGUG